This 254-nucleotide ribosomal RNA is filed under the name uncultured bacterium. RNAcentral's name for it is "partial 16S ribosomal RNA". It matches the Rfam family "Bacterial small subunit ribosomal RNA", at positions 524 to 776 of the family's 1533-position model. The record is from RNAcentral.
GACGUAGGGGGCCAGCGUUGUUCGGAAUUACUGGGUGUAAAGGGUUCGUAGGCGGUGUAGCAAGUCGGGGAGUGAAAUCUCUGGGCUUAACCCAGAGGCUGCUUCCGAAACUGCUGUGCUUGAGUGUGGGAGAGGCGCGUGGAAUUGCAGGUGUAGCGGUGAAAUGCGCAGAUAUCAGGAGGAACACCGGUGGCGAAGGCGGGUCUCUGGGCCGAUACUGACGCUGAGGAGCGAAAGCGUGGGGAGCGAACAGG